RNAcentral lists this ribosomal RNA (300 nucleotides) under Klebsiella pneumoniae. RNAcentral describes it as "partial 23S ribosomal RNA". It matches the Rfam family "Bacterial large subunit ribosomal RNA", at positions 1570 to 1882 of the family's 2925-position model. The record is from RNAcentral. Lineage: Bacteria; Pseudomonadati; Pseudomonadota; Gammaproteobacteria; Enterobacterales; Enterobacteriaceae.
AGAAGACAUUGUGUCUUCGAGUCGUUGAUUUCACACUGCCGAGAAAAGCCUCUAGAUAGAAAAUAGGUGCCCGUACCGCAAACCGACACAGGUAGUCAAGAUGAGAAUUCUAAGGUGAGCGAGCGAACUCUCGUUAAGGAACUCGGCAAAAUGACCCCGUAACUUCGGGAGAAGGGGUGCUGACUUAAAGUCAGCCGCAGUGAAUAGGCCCAAGCAACUGUUUAUCAAAAACACAGCUCUCUGCUAAAUCGUAAGAUGAUGUAUAGGGGGUGACGCCUGCCCGGUGCUGGAAGGUUAAGA